AUUGAACGCUGGCGGCAUGCCUUACACAUGCAAGUCGAACGGCAGCGGACCUUCGGGUGCCGGCGAGUGGCGAACGGGUGAGUAAUAUAUCGGAACGUACCUUUCAGUGGGGGAUAACGUAGCGAAAGUUACGCUAAUACCGCAUAUUCUGUGAGCAGGAAAGCAGGGGGAUCGCAAGACCUUGCGCUGAUUGAGCGGCCGAUAUCAGAUUAGCUAGUUGGUGAGGUAAAGGCUCACCAAGGCGACGAUCUGUAGCGGGUCUGAGAGGAUGAUCCGCCACACUGGAACUGAGACACGGUCCAGACUCCUACGGGAGGCAGCAGUGGGGAAUUUUGGACAAUGGGCGCAAGCCUGAUCCAGCCAUGCCGCGUGAGUGAAGAAGGCCUCGG
This 389-nucleotide ribosomal RNA is filed under the name uncultured bacterium. Its description in RNAcentral is "bacterial SSU rRNA". It matches the Rfam family "Bacterial small subunit ribosomal RNA", at positions 30 to 420 of the family's 1533-position model. The record is from RNAcentral.